RNA transcript from Lepus europaeus (European hare), 3505 nucleotides. It is a transcript of the gene named small nuclear RNA activating complex polypeptide 3, with no coding region annotated. NCBI's taxonomy places the organism in Eukaryota, Metazoa, Chordata, Mammalia, Lagomorpha, Leporidae. The record is from RefSeq and is a predicted model, not a curated record. The transcript is spliced from 10 exons.
CUCGCUCGGCUUUGCAAAAGGGAAGGGAGUGGGGACGAACAUGGCUGAAGACAGCCGGGGUGGCCCAACGUGCAGCUGGAUGGAGGGCAGUCAGGACCCGCUCCCCGGCAGUGGUGGCUACAACUUUCCAGAGUACGAGAUUCCCGAGGUUAACACGCGCGUUUUCCAUGUUGGCACCCUUGGGGAGCUGUGGCGUGGCCGGCUGCGCGGGGCCGAGGACUUGUCACUGAAGGAGCCGCGGGCACCGGAGCUGCCCGGGUGCCCAGGGGACGCUGCCUCCGAUCCGGGGGAUGCCGCGGUGGCCCGGGAUCUGGACUGCAGCCUGGAGAAGGCGGCCGAGCUGAGGGCGGUGUGCAGCCUUGAUAAACUGAAGUGCCUAGAGGAAGGUGAGGAUCCGGAAGUCAUCCCAGAGGACACGGACCUGGUGACGUUAGGGAUUAGAAAGAGGUUCUUGGAACAUCGGGAAGAAACCAUAACCAUAGAUCGCGCCUGCCGACAAGAAACGUUUGCUUAUGAGAUGGAGUCACAUGCAAUUGGAAAAAAGCCUGAAAAUCCAGCAAAUAUGAUUGAAGAAGGAGAACUUAUCCUAUCUGUGAAUAUCUUGUACCCUGUUAUAUUUCAUAAGCACAAAGAACACAAACCAUACCAGACGAUGCUGGUGUUGGGCACUCAAAAGCUCACGGAACUGAGGGAUUCAAUUUGCUGUGUCAGUGACCUCCAGAUUGGUGGAGAAUUCAGCAACUCUCCUGACCAAGCCCCUGAACACAUCAGCAAAGACCUGUACAAAUCAGCCUUCUUUUACUUUGAAGGCACAUUUUACAAUGAUAAAAGAUACCCAGAAUGCAGAGAUUUGAGCAGCACAAUCAUUGAGUGGUCAGAGUCCCAUGAUAGAGGCUAUGGGAAGUUUCAGACUGCCAGAAUGGAAGAUUUCACCUUCAAUGACUUGCAUAUUAAACUGGGCUUUCCUUACUUGUACUGUCACCAGGGAGAUUGUGAACAUGUUGUGGUCAUUACCGACAUAAGGCUUGUGCAUCACGACGACUGCUUGGAUAGGACACUUUAUCCCCUUCUCAUCAAGAAGCACUGGCUUUGGACCCGAAAAUGUUUUGUUUGUAAAAUGUACACAGCUAGAUGGGUGACGAACAAUGACAGUUUUGCACCACAAGACCCAUGUUUCUUUUGUGAUGUUUGCUUCCGAAUGCUCCACUAUGACUCUGAAGGCAACAAACUGGGGGAAUUCCUUGCUUAUCCUUAUGUUGAUCCUGGAACCUUUAAUUAAAUAACAGCUUCUCCUGUAAAGUACACCACUGUCAAGUCCCCAUCCUCUUGGAUGGUUUAUUUCCAAAAUACACCACCGAGGAACAGAUGCACCUGGAACAGAAGUAAUCCAAGUGUUCUGGAAUGUUAUUUCAUUCACUCCAAAGUACGUUUAACUCACUUGAAGGGGUUGUGUAUCUUACUGAAGUGCUUACCAUAUCCUAAAUAUAAAUCUAGGUACAUACACAUGUUCUCAUUCUUUUCUCCCAAUCCAUGGCUUGCCUAUUCAUGCUCUGUCUCAAGUGUUUUUUGCUAAGGCUAGAAUUCCUAGAUACAUCAAGUAGUAGAAGUAUUUUGGAAAUUCUCUGAAGAAUUUGAGAGCUACACCUUCUACCUUGAGGCUCCCGAGGUUAUAUUUAAACUCAGCAUAUGUGCACAUUACUCUUGAUGGCUAAGAGCAGGAAUUUACCAUAAAAAUCAAAACCUAAUGAAACCUGUAACUCUGCGUGCUUAAGGCUUGACAGUGCAAUAUGUUUUAAGGACUUAAAUGUGGCAUACCCAGUUAAGUCAGUUGGUGUGAAGAUGAGAAGUACCUGCUUCUGGUAUGUCUAGAUGGGGUUCUUACUCGUUGGUUCAGAGCAUCAUUAUAAAGAACUAAAGAGGCCGCUCCGUGGCUGGCUUAUGUUGUGCCUACGUUUUUACUUUAAUGUAUCCAGUGGUGCAGACAUGGAGCAGACAGAAAAUUCUGCUGUAAAAAAUCAAAUUUUUAAGAUAAAUGAUAUACCCAAUUCCAAAAAUCCAUGGGUUAAAUUUUUUACCUUUUUUUUUUUUUUUGACAGGCAGAGUAGACAGUGAGAGAAAGAGACAGAGAGCAAGGUCUUCCUUUUCCAUUGGUUCACCCUGCAAUGGCCGCCGCGGCCAGCGCACCGCGCUGAUCCGAAGCCAGGAGCUUCUCCUGGUCUCCAAUGCAGGUGCAGGGCCCAAGCACUUGGGCCAUCCUCCACUGCUUUCCCGGGCCAUAGCAGAGAGCUGGCCUGGAAGAGAACCGGGACAGAAUCCAGCGCCCCAACCGGGACUAGAACCUGGUGUGCCGGUGCCACAGGCGGAGGAUCAGCCAAGCGAGCCGCAGCACCAACCUAAAUUUACUUUGAUUCAGCCAACUAGUUUCAUUUUACCAAACAAGACAUAUAUUGGUUAAAACAUAAAAUUACUGCUACUGGGAUUCUUACUUUUUGGGAUAUUCCUUUUUAUUUUUUCUAAGAGGGAUCAGGUUACUCCCAGUUUGCCAGUGUGUAUCAGUUACAUUGGAAUUGAACUUGAUGGAAUACCUAAGAAAUUUCUAACUGUAUUUUGGGAGCUAUAUCCGUGAUCCAAGACAGCUAUUCUUUAUACCUAUUUCAACCUUUUAACUAUUAAAUAAACUACAAAUACCAUUGUAUCUAUUGAAGGAAAGCAAUUAUGAAAACAUUACUAAUCAAUAUUCUCUGUACUAAGAAAUAAGAUUUUUUAUUCAAUAGUGGAUGCACAUGUUAGCAGCUCUCUCCAGAAAAACAGCUAUUUUUCAUCUCAUAUCAUCUGUUAAACACAUUUCAGCCUAUUGUAGCAGUUUUUGCACUUCUUAAGGGUUCAAUGAUGCAAGUUUUGCUGUUUCCAACAGAUGAACCAUUCUUGGGCCAGUGGGACAAAAUAAGUUGUUAGCAAAGCCCUCAACAGAGAGCCCUAUGUAAAAAGCCUUUGCCUCUGCAUGAGAUGAGAUGUUGGACCUCAUCUUGACCUAACAUCUUUAACCAGGUAAGUAUGUGGGCAGAAAUAUUUUUUGUACACUGUCAACAAAAAUGGGUAAAAUCCGUAAUAGCUGAAAUCACCAGAUAGAAUUAUAGGACUUAAAAGGUACUCUGGUACGUAUGUUCAAAGUCCCAAACUUCAGUCAUUUGUGUUGGGUCAUGUAUAAUUUACUCUUUAAAAUGCAAUCUAAUGAUCAAAAGCACAAAAGAGGUGUUGUGUAUUCACAUACACACACACAUUUUGAUGGCUAGUUAUAAGUUAUCUAUUUGUUUGACUGUAGGCAUUAUUCCUGUAAAACUUCUUGGUAGUUAUAAGACUUUUUCUUGUAAGUUCUUGGGUUGUUAUCUGUCAAUCAGCCUAUGACAAAAAAACUUAUUGAAAUGAAGUUUAAGGUGGAAGAGAAGGCAACGUGCUUUAAGUAGAGUGCGUACAUCAAGCCAGACUACGCAGGCAAACAGGUGAC